Molecule: ribosomal RNA, 664 nt
Filed under: Bacillus sp. (in: firmicutes)
Lineage: Bacteria; Bacillati; Bacillota; Bacilli; Caryophanales; Bacillaceae
Description: bacterial SSU rRNA
Rfam family: Bacterial small subunit ribosomal RNA
Source: RNAcentral
AGAGCUUGCUCUUAUGAAGUUAGCGGCGGACGGGUGAGUAACACGUGGGUAACCUGCCCAUAAGACUGGGAUAACUCCGGGAAACCGGGGCUAAUACCGGAUAACAUUUUGAACCGCAUGGUUCGAAAUUGAAAGGCGGCUUCGGCUGUCACUUAUGGAUGGACCCGCGUCGCAUUAGCUAGUUGGUGAGGUAACGGCUCACCAAGGCAACGAUGCGUAGCCGACCUGAGAGGGUGAUCGGCCACACUGGGACUGAGACACGGCCCAGACUCCUACGGGAGGCAGCAGUAGGGAAUCUUCCGCAAUGGACGAAAGUCUGACGGAGCAACGCCGCGUGAGUGAUGAAGGCUUUCGGGUCGUAAAACUCUGUUGUUAGGGAAGAACAAGUGCUAGUUGAAUAAGCUGGCACCUUGACGGUACCUAACCAGAAAGCCACGGCUAACUACGUGCCAGCAGCCGCGGUAAUACGUAGGUGGCAAGCGUUAUCCGGAAUUAUUGGGCGUAAAGCGCGCGCAGGUGGUUUCUUAAGUCUGAUGUGAAAGCCCACGGCUCAACCGUGGAGGGUCAUUGGAAACUGGGAGACUUGAGUGCAGAAGAGGAAAGUGGAAUUCCAUGUGUAGCGGUGAAAUGCGUAGAGAUAUGGAGGAACMCCAGUGGCGAAAGC